GAACAACGGGGAAUAAGUUCCACACGGGUACCGUUUGAGAUUACGUCACCUUGCGGAGCGGCCGGAAAAAACCUGCACCCUGUCGGGAAAAAAUCCAGAUGCGCUUGUCGGUGAAAUUGAGAUCGGAAAAUUUUAACAGCUAGAUCUUUAUUUCAAAUGUAUGCAGCAGUCGCUAUUGUAUUAGGGAAGAAUGGCACUCCGUGUUAAACUCCCAUAACAAAGGAAAAAGUCGCUAUUCAAGCUGUUGGGCGUGUAAUGCCGCCAUUUUAAACCAUUCAGAACUAAAAUAUCCGCUCGACAUGGAAAUUACUUACUCUUCCAACCAACGAAAACCAAGCCGAAGAAUGGAACUACCCGGACAGACGAUUUUGGCAACUAUCAUCUCUGUUGCACACUGUGGAAACUCGCGGAAACGGACCGGUGACUCUGGAUCGGAAAACUACACCGGGUUGUACCGGACGGGGAAAAUUGGUGCCGUAGCUACUCAAUUGUCGAGCCAAUGGGAUCCUUGCGGCCAAGGAUAUUUGCUAUUCGGCGAAGAGGCGGCCAGGUGCUGGUAUUACAGAUUGCCGAUAAGAUGAUCAUUAACGACUAACUGGAUUCGAUCCACAACUUCUCAAAGUUUGACAGGAAAUUCUGAACCGAUUUGACCCAACCGCAGGUGGUCAAAUGAGAAAAGAUUAAAUGCGGCAAGCCCCAGUGGUGUUUACAACAAGGGCCAGCAGAAAUAGUGCCUAAUGUGCAACGGGUAGAUGAACAACAAUCAUAUCAAAUGACCACGAAGCAAUUAGAAGCGCCAAUUGCUCAAUUGAUGACUGCACUUCAGGCUAGACCUGAGCAGCAACUAUUCUCAAUACUGAUACUGGAGAAAAACAGCAACAAUAAGUUUAUAUAUUAAGAAUUUCAAGCAAAA
Molecule: long non-coding RNA, 913 nt
Organism: Uranotaenia lowii
Lineage: Eukaryota; Metazoa; Arthropoda; Insecta; Diptera; Culicidae
Exons: 4
Source: RefSeq, a predicted model, not a curated record